RNAcentral lists this ribosomal RNA (253 nucleotides) under uncultured bacterium. RNAcentral's name for it is "partial 16S ribosomal RNA". It matches the Rfam family "Bacterial small subunit ribosomal RNA", at positions 524 to 776 of the family's 1533-position model. The record is from RNAcentral.
UACGAGGGGGGCGAGCGUUGUUCGGAAUUAUUGGGCGUAGAGGGUGCGUAGGCGGUUUGAUAAGUCUGAUGUGAAAUCUAUGGGCUCAACCCAUAGUCUGCAUUAGAAACUGUCGGGCUUGAGUAUGGGAGAGGUGAGUGGAAUUUCCGGUGUAGCGGUGAAAUGCGUAGAUAUCGGGAGGAACACCUGCGGUGUAGACGGCUUUCUGGACCAUUGUUGACGCUGAGACACGAAAGCGUGGGUAGCAAACAGG